AGCUCCAAUAGCGUAUAUUAAAGUUGUUGCAGUUAAAAAGCUCGUAGUUGGAUUUCUGGUUUGAAUGUCCGGUCCGCUUGUAAUUGCAAGUGUGUACUUGUUUGAUGUUUGUACCAUUUUUUGUGAGGAUGUUUGGCUGGCAUUAAGUUGUUGGCUUUACGGACUUGCAUCGUUUACUGUGAAAAAAUUAGAGUGUUUAAAGCAGGCGUUUGCUUUAUUUGAAUACAUUAGCAUGGAAUAAUAAGAUACGACUUUGGUGGUCUAUUUUGUUGGUUUGCACACCAGAGUAAUGAUUAAUAGGGACAGUUGGGGGUAUUCAUAUUUCAGCGUCAGAGGUGAAAUUCUUGGAUCGCUGAAAGAUGAGCUCAGGCGAAAGCAUUUACCAUGGAUGUUUUCAUUA
This 400-nucleotide ribosomal RNA is filed under the name phytoplankton environmental sample. Its description in RNAcentral is "partial small subunit ribosomal RNA". It matches the Rfam family "Eukaryotic small subunit ribosomal RNA", at positions 587 to 975 of the family's 1831-position model. The record is from RNAcentral.